GCACCUACCAUUUCAAGGAAGGAUAUAGAUCAAAGACGCUUGAGGAACUCAUAUCUCAAGAUUAUUGCUCCUUGGUUCUGUGUAGAAAGCCUGAAGAGAUCUGGAGUUUUAGAGGAAAUAAAGCUAAAGAUUGUUGUCUCUUGUUCCUGUGGAGAAGAUUUGGAGUUAGUGGAGUUUAGAAAGGAUUAAAGAAUUUGCAAUAUCACGAAGUAGUAAAUCAAAAAAUAUUACUCAAAGGGUCUUCCUAAGUAUCAAUUUUAUUGAAAAUGGGUCAGACAUUGAACUUUUUGUUUGCUAUUAUAAUUGCUUUAAUUGGCUUUUAUAUUUGUAAAAAUUUUGACUAUGUAAAAUUUUUGGAGUUCAUGUUUCCUACGAAUGAUGAAAGCAGACAUCGUGAAUUAACUUGGGAUCAAUGCUAUAUUUUGAUGGACUUGGACAUAAUUUGAGUUUACUGACAAUUUCAUUAACCAUUUUUAAUAAAAAAUUUAUGUUUUUCAAAAAGUUGGA
Teleopsis dalmanni is the source of this 507-nucleotide long non-coding RNA. RefSeq lists it as uncharacterized. The transcript has 4 exons. The record is from RefSeq and is a predicted model, not a curated record. NCBI's taxonomy places the organism in Eukaryota, Metazoa, Arthropoda, Insecta, Diptera, Diopsidae.